GGGGGAAAAUUAAUAAAAUAAAAAUAAUAAAAUAAAUUUUAAAAUUAAAAAUAAAUAAUGGGGGUUAAAGUAUUUUUAAUAGAAAAAAUUUUAAAUUUUAUAGGGAAAUAUGUAUUGUAAAAGAAAUUUGAAAUAAUUUAAAAUAAAUUAUUAAAAAAGAAAAUUUUAUUUAUUGUAUCUUGUGUAUCAGAGUUUAUUAAAUAUUUUUUUUUUAUAAAAAAAUUUCGAAUUUAAAAGAGUAAAUUAAUUAAAAAAGUUAAUGUGGCAUAAUUAUUUUAAAUAAUUAAUUGGAAAUGAAAUGUUAAUCGUUUUUAAAUAUAUCUAGUUAUUUUAGAAAAAAAUUUAAUUUUAAAUUUAAAUAAUUUUAUAAUUUAAUAAAAAAAAUUAUGAAAAUUUAAAUUCAAUAUUUUAAGGGAUAAGCUUUAAAUUAAAAAUUUAUAAUAAAAAUUAAUAAAAAUUAAAAUUUUUAAAAUUUAUAUUGUUUAAAAAUUAUAAUUUAUUAUAAAAAAUUUUAUUUUAAAUAAAAUUUUAUAAAAAAUAUUUAAUUUUGUAUAAAAUAAUAAUUUUUAAUAGAAUAAAAUUAGUAAUAAUGAUAAAAUUAGUAUAAAAUAAAUAAAAAAAAAUAAUUUUGGGGUAAAAUUAAAUAAAAGGAAUUCGGCAAAAGUAGUAUUCACUUGUUUAUCAAAAACAUGUCUUUUUGAAAAUAAUUUAAAGUCUAAUCUGCCCACUGAUAAAUAUUAAAGGGCUGCAGUAUAUUGACUGUACAAAGGUAGCAUAAUCAUUAGUUUUUUAAUUGGAAACUUGUAUGAAAGAUUUGAUGAGAUACAGACUGUCUCUUAUUUAGGAUUAAAAAUUUAUUUUUUAGUUAAAAAGCUAAAAUAAUUUUAAAAGACGAGAAGACCCUAUAGAGUUUUAUAUUUUAUAAAAUAUAAAAAUUAUAUAAAAAUUAAAAUUAAUAUUUAAUAAAUUAUUAUAUUGGGGUGAUAGAAAAAUUAAAUUAACUUUUUUUAAAAAUUAAUCAUUAAUAAAUGAAUAAAUGAUCCAUACAUAAUGAUUAUAAGAAAAAAUUACCUUAGGGAUAACAGCGUAAUAUUUUUUUUUAGUUCAAAUAAAAAAAAAAGUUUGCGACCUCGAUGUUGGAUUAAGAUAAAAUUUAAAUGCAAACGUUUAAAAUUUUGAUCUGUUCGAUCAUUAAAAUCUUACAUGAUCUGAGUUCAAACCGGUGUGAGCCAGGUUGGUUUCUAUCUUUAGAUAAAAAGAAUAUUUUAGUACGAAAGGAUUGAGUAUUCAAAAUAAUUUUAAUAAAAGAAUAUUAUUAAUGAAAUUAUAGACUAAUA
RNAcentral lists this ribosomal RNA (1337 nucleotides) under Lethe verma. RNAcentral describes it as "16S ribosomal RNA". Lineage: Eukaryota; Metazoa; Arthropoda; Insecta; Lepidoptera; Nymphalidae. The record is from RNAcentral.